This is a small nucleolar RNA of 54 nucleotides. It matches the Rfam family "Small nucleolar RNA sR17". The record is from Rfam.
UGUGAUGAUGAGCUCAAACUGAUCAGAUAGUUGAUGACUGAGUCUGAAUUGAGC